Molecule: long non-coding RNA, 735 nt
Filed under: Capsella grandiflora
Lineage: Eukaryota; Viridiplantae; Streptophyta; Magnoliopsida; Brassicales; Brassicaceae
Description: long non-coding RNA (CGRA_LNC000831)
Source: RNAcentral
AACUGAUUUCUUGGACGAACGAUCAGAGUAUCUCACCAAGUUUGCUGAAGAAGCCAAUGCAGAGUUUGACAAGGUUGGAGAAGACGCCAUGAAAGACCUUGACGAAGCUAGCACAAGGGUAUGUAUCAGUUAAUAACGAUAACUUUGAUAUCUAGGCUGAUAUAAUGGAAUUAUGUCGUAAAGAUUGAAAAUUUUGUCGUUCUUACCUUGAUUCUUUGAUGCAACUUGAUUCAUGAGAAUCGUCUUAACAUUAUAAGUCAAGUGAACUCAGAAGCUUCCAAAGAUUGUGAUCUGCUCGAUGAUCUUACAGAACAGAAAAAUAGAUAAGCUGAUAUUAAUAUUUUCUUUCCGGGUGAUUGAGCAGAUACUCGAGAAUAUCGAGAGCAAGAUGCAAGCUUUUGAGGAAUCUGCGGGACUGAACAGAUUAGAGAUAGAGGAGAACGAUAAUAAGUUGGCUGAGUUUGAGGAGAAGAUCGAGGUAGACCGGAAUGAAGGAUUGUUCUUUAAAAGCUUAGGCGACAAAAAACCGGUGGAUAAAGAGAAAGCUAAAGAGGAGACUGAGAAGAUAGAAGAGGUUACUAAAGAAAGUGCAGGAUCACAAGCAAGAAGGAAUCUUUACCUCGGGUUAAUUGGGAUCGUGGUUCUUGCAAUUGCUGAGUCCUUCGUUUCUGCACCAGAUUGGAGAAAAGUCGCAAUUCUCGGAGCUAUCCUUAUACCACUCCUCACUCAAUUCGU